UACAGAGGGUGCGAGCGUUAAUCGGAAUUACUGGGCGUAAAGGGCUCGUAGGUGGCCAACUAAGUCAGACGUGAAAUCCCUCAGCUUAACUGGGGAACUGCGUCUGAUACUGGAUGGCUUGAGUUUGGGAGAGGGAUGCGGAAUUCCAGGUGUAGCGGUGAAAUGCGUAGAUAUCUGGAGGAACACCGGUGGUGUAGACGGCUCUCUGGACCGUAACUGACGCUGAGGCACGAAAGCGUGGGGAGCAAACAGG
This 253-nucleotide ribosomal RNA is filed under the name uncultured bacterium. RNAcentral describes it as "partial 16S ribosomal RNA". It matches the Rfam family "Bacterial small subunit ribosomal RNA", at positions 524 to 776 of the family's 1533-position model. The record is from RNAcentral.